UGGGGAAUAUUGCACAAUGGGCGCAAGCCUGAUGCAGCCAUGCCGCGUGUAUGAAGAAGGCCUUCGGGUUGUAAAGUACUUUCAGCGAGGAGGAAGGCGUUGUGGUUAAUAACCGCAACGAUUGACGUUACUCGCAGAAGAAGCACCGGCUAACUCCGUGCCAGCAGCCGCGGUAAUACGGAGGGUGCAAGCGUUAAUCGGAAUUACUGGGCGUAAAGCGCACGCAGGCGGUCUGUCAAGUCGGAUGUGAAAUCCCAGGGCUCAACCUGGGAACUGCAUCCGAAACUGGCAGGCUAGAGUCUUGUAGAGGGGGGUAGAAUUCCAGGUGUAGCGGUGAAAUGCGUAGAGAUCUGGAGGAAUACCGGUGGCGAAGGCGGCCCCCUGGACAAAGACUGACGCUCAGGUGCGAAAGCGUGGGGAGCAAACA
Molecule: ribosomal RNA, 427 nt
Filed under: uncultured bacterium
Lineage: Bacteria
Description: partial 16S ribosomal RNA
Rfam family: Bacterial small subunit ribosomal RNA
Source: RNAcentral